RNAcentral lists this small RNA (176 nucleotides) under Gopherus agassizii (Agassiz's desert tortoise). RNAcentral describes it as "TUC338 (ENSGAGG00000015867.1)". Lineage: Eukaryota; Metazoa; Chordata; Testudines; Testudinidae. The record is from RNAcentral.
UAGACGGCCCUGGAAAGUAAAUGUUCUUGUUUGUCCAUAAAAAACAACAGCAGAGGCACCAACAAUCCAAGUUUCCCCAUACUGCUCCAUCAGAGUACUUCAAGCUUGUUCCUCUGAGAUCACUUCUAGGAAUGAGAGAAUAUAUCAGUCUCCAUGCUAUUCAAUCCUUGGGUCUA